This is a long non-coding RNA of Salvia hispanica, 392 nucleotides long. RefSeq lists it as uncharacterized. The record is from RefSeq and is a predicted model, not a curated record. Lineage: Eukaryota; Viridiplantae; Streptophyta; Magnoliopsida; Lamiales; Lamiaceae.
UGGGCGGUGGAGAAGGGGAUGAGGAGCUGAGCUUCGCUGAGGCAAUGGGCUGGAAUGCCGCGGCCCGUCUCGAUAGACGGGCCGUGGGUGGAGUGAGGAAGCCGUUGACGGUCGACAUUGCUUCGAUAGGCCACAGAUGGUGAAAAACUGGCUUAUGGAAUAGAUUGCGCCGGUGCAGGACGAGAAAAGUGCAGGAGAUGAUAAUUGGUGAUGAAGAAGGGCACCCGAGCUAGAUGGAGGCGGAUAAAAGAUGUUGGAAAAAUGAUAAGGUAGAAGGGUAUUAGAGUACAAAGCGAAGUCGGAGGGUAAUAUUUUAAUAUGAAUGAGUUAUUAUACUUAAUAAAUAGUUUGUUAGCACUAUAUUUUUUUAAUUAGUUGACCUAAUUAUAUAA